UACGGGGGGUGCGAGCGUUGUCCGGAAUCACUGGGCGUAAAGGGCGCGUAGGUGGUCUUGUAAGUUUGCGGUGAAAGCCCGGGGCUCAACCCCGUGUCUGCCGCGAAUACUGCGAGACUUGAGUACUGUAGAGGCUGGUAGAAUGCCGGGUGUAGCGGUGGAAUGCGUAGAGAUCCGGCAGAAGACCGGUGGCGAAGGCGGCCAGCUGGGCAGUGACUGACACUGAGGCGCGACAGCGUGGGGAGCAAACAGG
RNAcentral lists this ribosomal RNA (253 nucleotides) under uncultured prokaryote. RNAcentral describes it as "partial 16S ribosomal RNA". It matches the Rfam family "Bacterial small subunit ribosomal RNA", at positions 524 to 776 of the family's 1533-position model. The record is from RNAcentral.